RNAcentral lists this ribosomal RNA (843 nucleotides) under uncultured bacterium. RNAcentral's name for it is "bacterial SSU rRNA". It matches the Rfam family "Bacterial small subunit ribosomal RNA", at positions 1 to 844 of the family's 1533-position model. The record is from RNAcentral.
UUAGAGUUUGAUCCUGGCUCAGGAUGAACGCUAGCUACAGGCUUAACACAUGCAAGUCGAGGGGCAGCAUGUUGGUUGCUUGCAACCAACGAUGGCGACCGGCGCACGGGUGAGUAACGCGUAUCCAACCUACCCUUGUCCAUCGGAUAACCCGUCGAAAGGCGGCCUAACACGAUAUGCGGUUCACAGCAGGCAUCUAACGUGAACGAAAUGUGAAGGAGAAGGAUGGGGAUGCGUCUGAUUAGCUUGUUGGUGGGGUAACGGCCCACCAAGGCGACGAUCAGUAGGGGUUCUGAGAGGAAGGUCCCCCACAUUGGAACUGAGACACGGUCCAAACUCCUACGGGAGGCAGCAGUGAGGAAUAUUGGUCAAUGGACGAGAGUCUGAACCAGCCAAGUAGCGUGCAGGAAGACGGCCCUAUGGGUUGUAAACUGCUUUUAUAGGGGGAUAAAGUGUGCCACGUGUGGCAUAUUGCAGGUACCCUAUGAAUAAGGACCGGCUAAUUCCGUGCCAGCAGCCGCGGUAAUACGGAAGGUCCAGGCGUUAUCCGGAUUUAUUGGGUUUAAAGGGAGCGUAGGCCGUUUGGUAAGCGUGUUGUGAAAUGUCGGGGCUCAACCUGGGCAUUGCAGCGCGAACUGCCAGACUUGAGUGCGCAGGAAGUAGGCGGAAUUCGUCGUGUAGCGGUGAAAUGCUUAGAUAUGACGAAGAACUCCGAUUGCGAAGGCAGCCUGCUGUAGCGCAACUGACGCUGAAGCUCGAAAGCGUGGGUAUCGAACAGUAUUAGAUACCCUGGUAGUCCACGCGGUAAACGAUGGAUGCUCGCUGUUUGCGUCUGACGUAAGC